AAGUCGUAACAAGGUUUCCGUAGGUGAACCUGCGGAAGGAUCAUUAUGAAUUAAAAAUAUUUGUGAAUUUACCACAACAAACAAAAAUACUAUAGUCAAAACAAAAAUAAUUAAAACUUUUAACAAUGGAUCUCUUGGUUCUC
This 143-nucleotide unclassified non-coding RNA is filed under the name uncultured Ascomycota. Its description in RNAcentral is "sequence contains ITS1". The stretch from base 1 to 46 matches the Rfam family "Eukaryotic small subunit ribosomal RNA", at positions 1786 to 1831 of the family's 1831-position model. Lineage: Eukaryota; Fungi; Ascomycota. The record is from RNAcentral.